This 58-nucleotide non-coding RNA is filed under the name Prorocentrum micans. The record is from RNAcentral. Lineage: Eukaryota; Dinophyceae; Prorocentrales; Prorocentraceae.
UGUUUUUUUUUUUUUUUUUUUUUUUUUUUUUUCUCCGAAGCCAGUGAUGGCUAAAAAC